GACGAACGCUGGCGGCGUGCUUAACACAUGCAAGUCGAACGAGACGAUUGAAAGCUUGCUUUUAAAAGUCGAGUGGCAAACGGGUGAGUAACGCGUAGACAACCUGCCUUUGAGAUGGGGACAACAGUUCGAAAGGACUGCUAAUACCGAAUGUUGUAUAUUUUCCACAUGGAAGAUAUAUUAAAGAUGGCCUCUAUUUAUAAGCUAUCGCUCAAAGAUGGGUCUGCGUCUGAUUAGCUGGUUGGUGGGGUAACGGCCUACCAAGGCGACGAUCAGUAGCCGGUCUGAGAGGAUGAACGGCUACAUUGGGACUGAGACACGGCCCAGACUCCUACGGGAGGCAGCAGUGGGGAAUCUUCCGCAAUGGACGAAAGUCUGACGGAGCAACGCCGCGUGAGUGAAGAAGGUUUUCGGAUCGUAAAGCUCUGUUGUUUGAGACGAACGUGCAAUUUUUGAAUAAGGAAUUGUAAUGACGGUAUUAAACGAGAAAGCCACGGCUAACUACGUGCCAGCCGCCGCUGUAA
RNAcentral lists this ribosomal RNA (524 nucleotides) under uncultured bacterium. Its description in RNAcentral is "partial 16S ribosomal RNA". It matches the Rfam family "Bacterial small subunit ribosomal RNA", at positions 28 to 523 of the family's 1533-position model. The record is from RNAcentral.